Molecule: ribosomal RNA, 465 nt
Filed under: Vreelandella stevensii
Lineage: Bacteria; Pseudomonadati; Pseudomonadota; Gammaproteobacteria; Oceanospirillales; Halomonadaceae
Description: partial 16S ribosomal RNA
Rfam family: Bacterial small subunit ribosomal RNA
Source: RNAcentral
CCUACGGGCGGCAGCAGUGGGGAAUAUUGGACAAUGGGCGAAAGCCUGAUCCAGCCAUGCCGCGUGUGUGAAGAAGGCCUUCGGGUUGUAAAGCACUUUCAGUGGGGAAGAAAGCCUUGGGGCUAAUACCCUCGAGGAAGGACAUCACCCACAGAAGAAGCACCGGCUAACUCCAUGCCAGCAGCCGCGGUAAUACGGAGGGUGCGAGCGUUAAUCGGAAUUACUGGGCGUAAAGCGCGCGUAGGCGGUCUGAUAAGCCGGUUGUGAAAGCCCCGGGCUCAACCUGGGAACGGCAUCCGGAACUGUCAGGCUAGAGUGCAGGAGAGGAAGGUAGAAUUCCCGGUGUAGCGGUGAAAUGCGUAGAGAUCGGGAGGAAUACCAGUGGCGAAGGCGGCCUUCUGGACUGACACUGACGCUGAGGUGCGAAAGCGUGGGUAGCAAACAGGAUUAGAUACCCCUGUAGUC